GUCUACGGCCAUGCCACCAUGAACAAGCUCGAUCCCAACUGAUCUCAAAAGCUAAGCAGGGUCAGGCCUGGUUAGUACUUGGAUGGGAGACCACCUAGGAAGACCAGGUGCUGUAGGCG
This 119-nucleotide ribosomal RNA is filed under the name Pteropus alecto (black flying fox). The record is from RNAcentral. Lineage: Eukaryota; Metazoa; Chordata; Mammalia; Chiroptera; Pteropodidae.